Oncorhynchus keta (chum salmon) is the source of this 4736-nucleotide long non-coding RNA. RefSeq lists it as uncharacterized. The record is from RefSeq and is a predicted model, not a curated record. The transcript has 5 exons. NCBI's taxonomy places the organism in Eukaryota, Metazoa, Chordata, Actinopteri, Salmoniformes, Salmonidae.
UAUUCUGUGAAGUGCACCAGUCCCUCCUGCAGCAAAGCACCCCCACAACAUGAUGCUGCCGCCCCCGUGCUUCACGGUUGGGAUGGUGUUCUUCGGCUAGCAAGCGUUCCCAUUUUUCCUCCAAACGUUAUGUUUGGUCAUUAUGGCCAAACAGUUCUAUUUUUGUUUCAUCAGACCAGAGGACAUUUCUCCAAAAAGUACAAUCUCUGUCCCCAUUUGCAGUUGCAAACCGUAGUCUGGCUUUUUUUAAUGGUGGUUUUGGAGCAGUGGCUUCUUCCUUGCUGAUGUUGAUAUUGGACUCGUUUUACUGUGGAUAUACAGUGCCUUGCGAAAGUAUUCGGCCCCCUUGAACUUUGCGACCUUUUGCCACAUUUCAGGCUUCAAACAUACAGAUAUAAAACUGUAUUUUUUGUGAAGAAUCAACAACAAGUGGGACACAAUCAUGAAGUGGAAUGACAUUUAUUGGAUAUUUCAAACUUUUUUUAACAAAUCAAAAACUGAAAAAUUGGGUGUGCAAAAUUAUUCAGCCCCUUUACUUUCAGUGCAGCAAACUCUCCAGAAGUUCAGUGAGGAUCUCUGAAUGAUCCAAUGUUGACCUAAAUGACUAAUGAUGAUAAAUAUAAUCCACCUGUGUGUAAUCAAGUCUCCGUAUAAAUGCACCUGCACUGUGAUAGUCUUAGAGGUCCGUUAAAAGCGCAGAGAGCAUCAUGAAGAACAAGGAACACACCAGGCAGGUCCGAGAUACUGUUGUGAAGAAGUUUAAAGCCGGAUUUGGAUACAAAAAGAUUUCCCAAGCUUUAAACAUCCCAAGGAGCACUGUGCAAGCGAUAAUAUUGAAAUGGAAGGAGAAUCAGACCACUGCAAAUCUACCAAGACCUGGCCGUCCCUCUAAACUUUCAGCUCAUACAAGGAGAAGACUGAUCAGAGAUGCAGCCAAGAGGCCCAUGAUCACUCUGGAUGAACUGCAGAGAUCUACAGCUGAGGUGGGAGACUCUGUCCAUAGGACAACAAUCAGUCGUAUAUUGCACAAAUCUGGCCUUUAUGGAAGAGUGGCAAGAAGAAAGCCAUUUCUUAAAGAUAUCCAUAAAAAGUGUUGUUUAAAGUUUGCCACAAGCCACCUGAGAGACACACCAAACAUGUGGAAGAAGGUGCUCUGGUCAGAUGAAACCAAAAUUGAACUUUUUGGCAACAAUGCAAAACGUUAUGUUUGGCGUAAAAGCAACACAGCGCAUCACCCUGAACACACCAUCCCCACUGUCAAACAUGGUGGUGGCAGCAUCAUGGUUUGGGCCUGCUUUUCUUCAGCAGGGACAGGGAAGAUGGUUAAAAUUGAUGGGAAGAUGGACGGAGCCAAAUACAGGACCAUUCUGUAAGAAAACCUGAUGGAGUCUGCAAAAGACCUGAGACUGGGACGGAGAUUUGUCUUCCAACAAGACAAUGAUCCAAAACAUAAAGCAAAAUCUACAAUGGAAUGGUUCAAAAAUAAACAUAUCCAGGUGUUAGAAUGGCCAAGUCAAAGUCCAGACCUGAAUCCAAUCGAGAAUCUGUGGAAAGAACUGAAAACUGCUGUUCACAAACGCUCUCCAUCCAACCUCACUGAGCUCGAGCUGUUUUGCAAGGAGGAAUGGGAAAAAAUGUCAGUCUCUCGAUGUGCAAAACUGAGAGACAUACCCCAAGCGACUUACAGCUGUAAUCGCAGCAAAAGGUGGCGCUACAAAGUAUUAACUUAAGGAGGCUGAAUAAUUUUGCACGCCCAAUUUCAGUUUUUGAUUUGAUAAAAAAGUUUGAAAUAUCCAAUAAAUGUCGUUCCACUUCAUGGUUGUUGAUUCUUCAAAAAAAUACAGUUUUAUAUCUUUAUGUUUGAAGCCUGAAAUGUGGCAAAAGGUCGCAAAGUUCAAGGGGGCCGAAUACUUUCGCAAGGCACUGUAGAUAAUUUUGUACCCGUUUCCUCCAGCAUCUUCACAAGGUCCUUUGCUGUUGUUCUGGGUUUGAUUUGAACUUUUCACACCAAAGUACAUUCAUCUCUAGGAGACAGAACACGUCUCCUUCCUGAGCGGUAUGACAGCUGCGUGGUCGCAUGGUGUUUAUACUUGCGUACUAUUGUUUGUAUAGAUGAACCUGGUACCUUCAGGUGUUUGGACAUUGCUCCCAAGGAUGAACCAGACUUGUGGAGGUUACAAAUUUUUUUGCAAUUUUUUUCCUGAGGUCUGUUUUGAUUUCCCCAUGAUGUCAAGCAAAGAGGCACUGGGUUUGAAGGUAGGCCUUGAAAUACAUUCACAGGUACACCGCCAAUUGACUCAAAUGUGAAAUUAGCCUAUCAGAAGCUUCUAAAGCCAUGACAUCAUUUUCUGGAAUUUUUCAAGCUGUUUAAAGGCACAGCCAACUUAGUGUAUGUAAACUUCUGACCCACUGGAAUUGUGGUACAGUGAAUUAUAAGUUAAAUAGUCUGUCAACAAUUCUUGGAAAAAUGACUUGUGUCAUGCACAAAGUAGAUGUCCUAACCGACUUGGCAAAACCAUAGUUUGUUAACAAGAAAUUUGUGGAUUGGUUGAAAAAAACAAGUUAAUGACUUCUACUAUACACACAAAAAAUGGAAUUCUUUAUUUUAACGUUCUUAUAAAUAUAGCUAGCAACAGAAUAAACACAUUUUGAAUGACAUACCUACAGUGGAAAAGAGGAGUGUUAUUUUUAAUUAUGUCAACUUUAUUUCUCAACUCCUAAUAUUGUCUGACAUAGGCUUUGAAAAAGCAUCCGCUUACCAGUCGGCUGGUAAUCUUUCUUUCUUGGCUCUAUUCAAUACGUAUUGUGGAAGUUCAGCAUUACUGUGGGGGCAAUGUUCAGGCAUCAGUGGAGACUGCAUUCAUGCAUAUGUCGGCUCAAUCGGAAAAUUACCUUCACAUUUCUAUCGUGCAAUCUAUAACGCUUCAGCAAUACAGCCUGAAUAGAGCCCUUAGCUAUGUGUUGGCAAAAAGUAACCUUGGUUUAAACAACUCCAAACACAUUUUUGUUAAUAGCAGCUAUAUUUACCUAAUAGGAUGAGUUUACACUUCCUCAACAAAAAUAACAAUCUACCAAAUAUAUUCAUUUUAGAAUGUUGAUACUUCCUCCUUGCCAUUCAGCUGAUAAGACAUUAUAAAUAUAUAUACACAUUUAUUUGCUAACAUGAUGGGGUUCCUGGGUCGCCGGUUUGCUUGGCCGGGGGUUCCUGGGUAGCCGGUUUGCUUGGCCGGGGGUUCCUGGGUAGCCGGUUUGCUUGGCCGGGGGUUCCUGGGUAGCCGGUUUGCUUGGCCGGGGGUUCCUGGGUAGCCGGUUUGCUUGGCCGGGGGUUCCUGGGUAGCCGGUUUGCUUGGCCGGGGGUUCCUGGGUAGCCAGGUUUGCUUGGCCUAGCCGGUUUGCUUGGCCAGGGGUUCCUGGGUAGCCAGGUUUGCUUGGCCGGGGGUUCCUGGGUAGCCAGGUUUGCUUGGCCUAGCCGGUUUGCUUGGCCAGGGGUUCCUGGGUAGCCAGGUUUGCUUGGCCGGGGGUUCCUGGGUAGCCGGUUUGCUUGGCCGGGGGUUCCUGGGUAGCCAGGUUUGCUUGGCCGGGGGUUCCUGGGUAGCUGGUUUGCUUGGCCGGGGGUUCCUGGGUAGCCAGGUUUGCUUGGCCUAGCCGGUUUGCUUGGCCAGGGGUUCCUGGGUAGCCAGGUUUGCUUGGCCGGGGGUUCCUGGGUAGCCGGUUUGCUUGGCCGGGGGUUCCUGGGUAGCCAGGUUUGCUUGGCCGGGGGUUCCUGGGUAGCCAGGUUUGCUUGGCCGGGGGUUCCUGGGUAGCCGGUUUGCUUGGCCGGGGGUUCCUGGGUAGCCAGGUUUGCUUGGCCGGGGGUUCCUGGGUAGCCAGGUUUGCUUGGCCGGGGGUUCCUGGGUAGCCAGGUUUGCUUGGCCGGGGGUUCCUGGGUAGCCAGGUUUGCUUGGCCGGGGGUUCCUGGGUAGCCAGGUUUGCUUGGCCGGGGGUUCCUGGGUAGCCAGGUUUGCUUGGCCGGGGGUUCCUGGGUAGCCAGGUUUGCUUGGCCGGGGGUUCCUGGGUAGCCAGGUUUGCUUGGCCGGGGGUUCCUGGGUAGCCAGGUUUGCUUGGCCGGGGGUUCCUGGGUAGCCGGUUUGCUUGGCCGGGGGUUCCUGGGUAGCCGGUGUGCCUGGGAACGGGUCCCUGUGAAAGAAACCGUUGAAGACCCCUGUUCUAUAGCAUUUCAGACUGCUAUUAGGGGACCUUUUUACUCUAUCAUGUGUCUGUUUAUGAUUGUGUUUUGCUUUUCAUGUAUUGGUUUUGUAUGAUAAUGUGUAUAUGGUAGUGCAGUUUAUGUGUAUAUUGUAUUUUGAUGUGUAUUGUUGUGCUAAACAGGGCUCACAUGGAAAAACAAACCUUGGUCUCAGUAUUGACUCCCUGUCAAAAUAAACAAAUCACUGAUAAUACAAGAGGCAACAGUUUCCCAACGAACCAUAAACACAGCAAGGAAAACAGCCUCCAUUAUUCCAAUAAUGGGUCCAACUCCAAUGAUCAUGACCUCCGAACAAACACAGCUCCUUUCAGAUAUAACAGCUCAGAGAUACAAUAGGUAGCAGCACUACUUUGGGUUUAUAAGAGCUAGCUAACAACGCAGCGUGGGCUAGACACUUCCACCCCAGGGAAAGGCCUUUUUAUAGAUAUGAAAAGCUUUAGAGACUUUGGCAGCAGUCACACACACCCCAUCACAGUCACACAACAGCUUC